Molecule: ribosomal RNA, 637 nt
Filed under: Microbacteriaceae bacterium So3Pt_185
Lineage: Bacteria; Bacillati; Actinomycetota; Actinomycetes; Micrococcales; Microbacteriaceae
Description: bacterial SSU rRNA
Rfam family: Bacterial small subunit ribosomal RNA
Source: RNAcentral
GCCUGAUGCAGCAACGCCGCGUGAGGUGACGACGGCCUUCGGGUUGUAAACCUCUUUUGUCGGGGAAGAAGCGAAAGUGACGGUACCUGCGUAGAAAGCACCGGCUAACUACGUGCCACCCCCCGCGGUAAUACGUAGGGUGCAAGCGUUGUCCGGAAUUAUUGGGCGUAAAGAGCUCGUACGCGGUUUGUCGCGUCUGCUGUGAAAUCCCGAGGCUCAACCUCGGGCCUGCGGUGGGUACGGGCAGACUACAGUGCGGUAGGGGAGAUUGGAAUUCCUGGUGUAGCGGUGGAAUGCCCAGAUUUCAAGAGGAACACCGAUAGCUAAGGCGGAUCUCUGGGCCGUAACUGACGCUCAUGAGCGAAAGCGUGGGGAGCGAACAGGAUUAGAUACCCUGGUAGUCCACGCCAUACACGGUGGGAACUAGAUGUGGGGACCAUUCCACGGUCUCCGUGUCCCAUCUGACGCAUUAAAUUCCCCCCCAGGGGAGUACGGCCGCACGGGUAAAACUCAGAGGAAUUGACGGGGGCCCGCACAAGCGGCGGAGCACGCGGAUUAAUUCGAUGCAACGCGUAUAACCUUACCCAGGCUUGACAUAUACAACAACGGGCCACAAGUGGUCAACUCUUUGGACACU